This 101-nucleotide small nuclear RNA is filed under the name Camelus dromedarius (Arabian camel). The record is from RNAcentral. Lineage: Eukaryota; Metazoa; Chordata; Mammalia; Artiodactyla; Camelidae.
GUGCUUGCUUCAGCAGCACGUAUGCUAAAAUUGGAAGGAUACUGAGAUUAGCAUAGCCCCUGUGCAAGGAUGCAUAAACUCCUGAACCAUUUCAUAUUUUU